GGGUUGAAGGUGGCGUCCUCGUUUCCUCUCGAUACAUGUUGGAAAAUGGAGACUUUAGCCACCAAGACUGACGUGCCUGGAAACUUCCCUUCACGGGGUUUGUGACUGAAAUGCGUGUGGUCGACGGGAAGCCUGACGAGUACGGCCUGAAUCAUUCCAUCAACACCGGACGGAGUGAAACCUUUGUUGAAAACAGAUUAUAUGGUAACGUUGCAUUUAGCUUCAGUAAACUGUGAAGUUACAGCAGCAGAUUUACAUCACGUGGCUUCACAGGAAGUAGUCUGGACCUCAGCGCUGAGGUUCAAGCAGCUCUGCUUGCAGACGGCAUCCUUCCUGAAA
Maylandia zebra (zebra mbuna) is the source of this 339-nucleotide non-coding RNA. NCBI's taxonomy places the organism in Eukaryota, Metazoa, Chordata, Actinopteri, Cichliformes, Cichlidae. The record is from RefSeq and is a predicted model, not a curated record.